GACGAACGCUGGCGGCGUGCCUAACACAUGCAAGUCGAACGGUGACGCGCCUUCCUUUUUGGCGGGUGUGGAUGAGUGGCGAAAGGGUGAGUAACACGUGAGUAACCUGCUCCUUUCUUCUGGAUAACCGCAUGAAAGUGUGGCUAAUACGGGAUAUUCUGGGUCUGUCGCAUCAUGGGUUUGGGAAAGAUAUUGUUUCGGUGUGGGAUGGGCUCGCGGCCUAUCAGUUUGUUGGUGGGGUGAUGGCCUAGCAAGGCGGUGAGGAGCAGCCGGCAGGAGAGGGUGGACGGUCACGGUGGGGAUGAGAGACGGCGAAGCCUACGAGGGGAAGCAGCGGUGAGUAAUAGUGCACGGUGGGAGGAAGGCUGCUGCAGCGACGCCGCGUUAGAGAUGGAGUUCUGCGGGUUGUGAACCUCUUUCGCGAGUGAAGCAGAGCUGCUUAGUUUGUGGGUGUGUUGACGGUACCUGGAGAAGAAGCGCCGGCUAACUACGUG
RNAcentral lists this ribosomal RNA (494 nucleotides) under uncultured bacterium. Its description in RNAcentral is "partial 16S ribosomal RNA". It matches the Rfam family "Bacterial small subunit ribosomal RNA", at positions 28 to 507 of the family's 1533-position model. The record is from RNAcentral.